Long non-coding RNA from Vigna unguiculata (cowpea), 3916 nucleotides. RefSeq lists it as uncharacterized. NCBI's taxonomy places the organism in Eukaryota, Viridiplantae, Streptophyta, Magnoliopsida, Fabales, Fabaceae. The record is from RefSeq and is a predicted model, not a curated record.
CUGUGAGUGGUGUGGAAGCAUGGGUUGAGAUACUCGCUUCAGGCAGCCCAAUUUCUUUCAGACCUCACGCGUUCAAUCCAUCUGCAACCAGAUUUUCCUUUGCAUCCACGACAACAACAACUCUCAAUUGGGCCUGACAUACAACCCAAUUACUUCAAACCCUUGCAAUCUGUUUCAUGACAACAACCACUAAGUCAUUUAGUUUCCUUCAUGCUGUUUUCAGAAGUCACAGCCAGAGUUCUUCCACCAGCCGCUAGGGUGGAUCUUUCAACCCUUCACGUGUCCUACACUUUCCUUUAGGGUUUAUUUUUGUUAGGUGUUUUUAUUUGUUGUUUCCCAAACUUUAUUGCCGUUAGGUUUUGCUAGACGACCAUCCUUGCUAAAACUUUGUUGGUCACGACAGCUUUGCCGUUAGGUUUCUUCCAUUCUCUUUUCGGUUGCCUUCCUCUAUAAAAGGCAGACCCAUCUUUGUAACAAACCAGCUUUGAUGAAUGCGAGAUUGGUUGAGAUUAAUCCCCCCUUUCGUCUCAGCUCAAACCCUAAACCCUAGAUUAGGUUUUCACCUCGUCGGGUUUACCAAACAAAUGAGAAACCAGAGCGAUGCGAGUGUUAAUCUCCAAAUUAGAGUCUUCCGUUGCGUUUCCCUUAUAUUUUGCGAGUUUCAAUUGGUAGAACACCGAUUGGAGAGGCUUUCCGACGAAUCCCACGACGGAGCAGCCUCACACUACAAAAAAAUAUAUUUUUAGCAGGGAUUUAUUUAUUGGGGUUCCAAGAACCUCCAGAAAAAACUAAUUUUACAGGAGGUUUUAAUAAACGUCCUUAAGUAUAAGGGGUUUGCUAAAGAAACCCCAGUAAAUUUGAAUCUUUCCUUUUUUUUUUUCAUUUCCCAUUUUUUUUAUAAUAUUUUAAAAUUUUAAUUAGACGUACUUUCUCAUUUUAAUCGUGGCAAUCUUACUUAGGAAAGAAGGAGACUGUUAUCCACCGUUCUCCUUCGAUGCUCCACCACCGUUCUCCUCGAUCUCCACCGUUCUUUUCUCAAUGCUUGAAUUUAAUGUAACGAAGAUCAUUCUCUCUACUGUCAAUUUCGUUUCUCUACUUCUUAUCAUUCUUUCUCUUUCAAUUUCAUCUCCCUACUCUUAAUUUCGAUUUCGUUUUCAUUUUCAUGCGUUCGAUUUCAAUUUUCCUACCUUCGAUUUCGAUUUCACUGCGUUCGAUUGCGAUUUUCCUACCUUCAAUUUCGAUUUCAUUGCCUUCUAUUUCAAUUUUGAUUUCACUACGUUCGAUUUUGAUUUCCUGCUUUCGAUUUCAUUUCUCUACUUUUCAUUUUGUUUUCGUUCACUCAUGCCCUAACUGACUGUUGCUAUUUUCAGGUAUUUAAUUGUCCCAUAAGAUCAGUUUCAGCCACUCUUUUAUUUUGAAUUAAAGAAUCUUCACAUGACUUCGUAAUUCAAAUUAGCUUCUCUACUAUUGUAUCAUGGUAUCAUGCUUAGUUAACCAAAAAAAUUUCAUCUCUAUAAUUGUAUUUUACUCUCUCUUUUGAGGCAUGUUUGUAUAUAAUUGUCCCCAUUCUCCUCCUUCCUCUGUUCCUGAUUUUUAUUAUGAUGUUGAAGAACAUGGCAUUGGGAUUGGUAUAUAACAUUGAUGGAGAAGAUGAACAACCCUUUGCAUAAUGGAAAAGUGAAAGUGACGAUGGUGUUAGGAAUUGUGAAGAUGAUUGCGAAGAAGAAAAUGGGUUGAAGGCGUGGUGAAGGUUCAUUGUCUUGUGUUGAUGAAAUUAGGAAGGAGAAGAAGAAUUAAAAAUGAAGGGGAGAAUGUUACCCGUGUGUGUGAUUCUAUGAAGAGAAUGAUGUUUAGAGAAUUGUAGGAUGAAUAGUUUUGAAAUGAUGAUUGUCGAUGGAUGCUGGAAAUUGAAAUGAAAUCGAUGAAAAGUGGAAUUGAAGUGGGCAUGGGGUGCAAUGAAGGAGUGGAGAAGGAGGUGAAAAAUGAAAACUUUGUGAUAGAUGAUGAUGAUGAGUAUGGCAAAUGGCAUGUCGAUCAACUUGUUAUUGCUUUGAUUGGUGACCACUAGAAUUACAAAACUUAGAGCAACAUUUAUAAAAAAGUUAAAUGGUAUAAUUUCUUCAUACAAUUUGUAUUUACUACCAGUGGGAAUUUGGAAACUUAUGUUGUUUGAGGUUCUUCCAUUGCUUAAAGCUUGAGGCUUGUGCCCACGUCGAAACCCAUAGAAUGUAAUUGUUGUAGUUGAUUUGGAUAAUCCAAAGCAUUUUACACCAUAAAUUUUGAUAGUUGUCUUGUUUUGUUUAAGGAUGAUUCCUUUCAUUAUUUAUAGAAAGUAAUAUGUGCAUUGUUUUCCUUUACCUUUAGAAGUUGAUUAUAUGUAGAUAACAAAAGUAUUGUAUUGUCCGCAUGACAACUUUUAAUAUCAUUUGGGAUAGUAGAAAUCUUAUAUCCUGUAGAUUCAGAAAUAUAUUCAAACUCAAGCUUACAUUGACAUUGUAGUUGAAUUGAUUGUUAAUUAGUUUAGCUAAAUGAAUAGAUUUAGUGGCUAGUAUGGCAUUUCGUCUCUUGAUUUUAUAAAAUGGCAUUGUGUUAAUACAUUGCGUGGUCGCUGUAAUUGCUUUAAUAUUUUGUUAUCAUACAUAGAUCCAUAGGUGAUAUUAUAUCAGUCCUGAAAGCUGAGAAAGAGGAGAUGGAAUCAUCACUCGGCAAAGAGAAACAACAUGCUCUUCAAUUAAAGCAAGAGUUGAUGGAAGUUAAGUCUCGUAACACUAACCUUGAAAGGUAAACUAUAUUAAUUAUUGAAUUUACUUUUUUAGUUUGGAAUUAUAGAAAUGUAUUUUGAUAAGAAAUUAAGCAUUAAAGUGGCUAAUGACUACGAGCAUUAAAGUGGAAUCUCCCUAUAGUUGAUGAAUUGUGACGAUCCAUUAAAAUUCUUUGCAUUUUUUUUGUUUCAAAAAGAGUUUAAUUUCUCUUUUUAAUACCAUUUUCUUUAAUAGGAAUAUUCUUAUUUUAUUAAAAAUUGACAAGCAGACCAAAAUGUAAGAUUGAAGCAUUUUUUUUUUGUUUCAAAAAGGGUUUAAUGCAUAGCCAUCCUUGCUGCAUUAAACCUUUAAACUUCUAUUAUUAUCCAUCACGUGCACAUGUCUUUUUAUGCCCCACACACCUUGAAAGGGUAUCAAGGGUUGCAAAUUCUUUUUUAGUGGGUAUACUCUUCAAGAUUUAUUAUUUGAGACGUAUUUUUACUAGGUAUUAAGGAUUUCUUUAUUUUGGGAGUGUGUAUGAAUAUUAUGCUUGGGGAUUGGUGACUUUGUAUUCCAUAUGUAGUCUUGCAGCUUUGUCUAAGUGUAAUUUUUUCUGAAAAUGUUUGUGGCCAAUUUCUAAGACUUUGUGUCUGAAUCCAUCACCGACAAGAUUUGGUCUAAUAACCUUGCCCUUCUGGUAGAACAACAUGUGGAGUGCACAUUUCAUCUUAAACAAGCAGAACAAUUUAGCCAACAAAGGUGUAGAAAUUGAGAAGAUUAUACCUAUGGAUGCUACUCCUCUUGGAGUUUCCAUCCCGUGCUAAUAUCAAGUUGUGAAUCAGAAUAAUUGGGCAAGAAUGAAGAUGAAUUUAAAUUGUCAGACCUAGAGCAGGUAUAAGAAGUUGUUAUGCAAUGUAGUUUGAGGGAUUGUCAUUUAUGUACAUGAAUUUAAUUGGUUGUCUUUGACUAGAUGGGUUGGCUAGAUAAAUACCUCAUUUGUUUGUACAUAGGAAAUAGAAGGUUUGUUUCAUCUUUGUCGCAUAAUGAAGGAGAAUCACUGAACAAUUUGAUUGUGAUAUCUACUAUUUUAUGGUUGAGGUUAUGUAUACUUCAAUUUGUUUCUUUAAUGCUGAAACUGGACUUUAUCUAAUAAAAUAAGCUGGUUGGCUCUGUCC